ACCAAUUGAUGAAAAUUGAAGUAACUAAAGAAAAUAUAGAGGAGAUAGAGAGAAUUAGAGGUGGGGGGCUAGCUAAGGAGCCAUGGGAGACCUGAUGUCAUGGCUCUUGUCCUUCUUCUUCCAUGGCUCUCUUGUUGGCCUCAUCGGCUACCAGCUCAUGUGCUUGGCCGACUUGGAGUUCGAUUAUAUGAACCCAUAUGAUUCAUCAUCCCGGAUAAACAGAGUUAUUUUGCCCGAAUUUAUCAUUCAAGGAGUCUUGUGCCUCAUCCAUCUUGUAACAGGACAUUGGUUUAUGUUUCUGGUCUCUCUCCCAUACUUAUACUACAAUGUCAGAUUGUAUAUGCGGAGACAGCACUUAUUAGAUGUAACUGAAAUCUUUAACCAGUUGAAUCGGGAAAAGCAGCUACGGAUUUUUAAGCUUGUCCAUCUUAUCGUCCUCCUAACCACUUCUAUUUUCUGGAUGAUUUGGAGCAUCGGAGGCAUAUGAUUAAUCAAGCAUCAGUGCUUCUAUGAAGUGUUCCCCACUUGAAGAUACUUUCCUUUUGUGGAGUGUGAUGGAGGAUCAGAAAUUAUUGCAAGAUAUGGGAAUUGCAGAGGAGAGAGAGAGAGAGAGAGAGAAAGAAUGUGAAUUUUCUGGAAAAGAAAAUACUCUUAGUCUCAAUGUUGAGCUAUCUUUUACUAACUAGGUUGUUUCUGGCGAUGAAGAGUCUGAGGUACAAACUCCUGCGAUCAUAGUUCUUUUACAAAUCUAGCUAGAAUUUUAUACUUACUGACAAUGUUCCACACUGUUGUAACAUCAUGUUGGGUAGUGCCUUAUGUGCCUUUUAAUACUUGGGCUCUUCCCUUUUACUCAAAAUUUUCUCACUCAUAAUGGUAAAACUGCUGCUAAGAUAGUGCUGUCCCAAUCUGUUUCAGUAUGCUAGAUUCUCAUCCAAUUGUAUUGACACAGAAGUUAAUGUCUUAUUUGAUAUGCAAGUGAAUUAUACAUAA
RNA transcript from Vitis riparia (riverbank grape), 990 nucleotides. It is a transcript of the gene named protein cornichon homolog 4-like, with no coding region annotated. NCBI's taxonomy places the organism in Eukaryota, Viridiplantae, Streptophyta, Magnoliopsida, Vitales, Vitaceae. The transcript has 6 exons. The record is from RefSeq and is a predicted model, not a curated record.